Molecule: ribosomal RNA, 684 nt
Filed under: uncultured bacterium
Lineage: Bacteria
Description: bacterial SSU rRNA
Rfam family: Bacterial small subunit ribosomal RNA
Source: RNAcentral
AGUGGCGAACGGGUGAGUAAUACAUCGGAACGUGCCCAGUAGUGGGGGAUAACCCGGCGAAAGCCGGACUAAUACCGCAUACGACCUACGGGUGAAAGCGGGGGAUCGCAAGACCUCGCGCUAUUGGAGCGGCCGAUGGCAGAUUAGCUUGUUGGUGGGGUAAAGGCCCACCAAGGCGACGAUCUGUAGCUGGUCUGAGAGGACGACCAGCCACACUGGGACUGAGACACGGCCCAGACUCCUACGGGAGGCAGCAGUGGGGAAUCUUGCGCAAUGGGCGAAAGCCUGACGCAGCGACACCGCGUGGGGGAUGAAGGCCUUUCAGGUCGUAAACCCCUUUCGGCAGGGACGAAGCGAUCUCGUGACGGUACCUGCAGAAGAAGCCUCGGCUAACUACGUGCCAGCAGCCGCGGUAACACGUAGGAGGCGAGCGUUGUCCGGAAUCAUUGGGCGUAAAGAGCGCGCAGGCGGCUUGGCAAGUCGAGUGUGAAAUCCCGGGGCUCAACCCCGGGACUGCAUCCGAUACUGUCAGGCUAGAGGUAGGUAGGGGAGAUCGGAAUUCCUGGUGUAGCGGUGAAAUGCGCAAAUAUCAGGAGGAACACCGGUGGCGAAGGCGGAUCUCUGGGCCUUACCUGACGCUCAGGCGCGAAAGCUAGGGAGCGAACAGGAUUAAAUACCCUGGUA